GGUACCUUCGGUGCCCGAGUUGUAAUUUGGAGAGGGCAACUUUGGGGCCGUUCCUUGUCUAUGUUCCUUGGAACAGGACGUCAUAGAGGGUGAGAAUCCCGUGUGGCGAGGAGUGCGGUUCUUUGUAAAGUGCCUUCGAAGAGUCGAGUUGUUUGGGAAUGCAGCUCUAAGUGGGUGGUAAAUUCCAUCUAAAGCUAAAUAUUGGCGAGAGACCGAUAGCGAACAAGUACAGUGAUGGAAAGAUGAAAAGAACUUUGAAAAGAGAGUGAAAAAGUACGUGAAGUUGUUGAAAGGGAAGGGCAUUUGAUCAGACAUGGUGUUUUGUGCCCUCUGCUCCUUGUGGGUAGGGGAAUCUCGCAUUUCACUGGGCCAGCAUCAGUUUUGGUGGCAGGAUAAAUCCAUAGGAAUGUAGCUUGCCUCGGUAAGUAUUAUAGCCUGUGGGAAUACUGCCAGCUGGGACUGAGGACUGCGACGUAAGUCAAGGAUGUUGGCAUAAUGGUUAUAUGCCGCCCGU
Molecule: ribosomal RNA, 514 nt
Filed under: uncultured Saccharomyces
Lineage: Eukaryota; Fungi; Ascomycota; Saccharomycetes; Saccharomycetales; Saccharomycetaceae
Description: partial large subunit ribosomal RNA
Rfam family: Eukaryotic large subunit ribosomal RNA
Source: RNAcentral